CAGCUCCUGCCCCGCCUCUCAUAGCUGGGUGCGGACUGAUGACGUCGGCCUGGCUCCCGGAAGUCAUCCUCCGUGAUGCAGCAUUAGCUUGUUUAAGGUGCAGAAGGCAUGGUGAAAUAAGACUUCAGUGGGGAUAGAAACAAUGAAAGAGGUAUAUGUAGCCAUGGAAUAAAGCAGCUUCAAGAGAGGAUACAGGAGUGCUGGUGUAUGCUCUCAAGGAGGUCGAUACAGGGAUAGCAGGAGUCAGAUGAUAUGGAGAUCCACUGUAGAGUCAGCGAGCUACUGUAUAACAGCUAUGCAGGGCCCUCUUCGGCAGGAGUGGGGCUCCUGCUGCUUCCCCCUGCCGGCUCUCUCACAAUGUGGGUCUGGCCUCAGGACCGGCCUCGGGUUCACGGGGCUCAGGGGCUCGCCGGCUCUGCCUGCACUUGGGGGGGUGUGGCCUCAGGCUAGGCCCCCCAUCCCCAUUUCUGCCCCCCUGUCCGGCCUGGUGACAAAUCAAUACAUAUUUAAAUGAUUAAUAAAACAGACAAAGGAGUAUAUUAAUACUCUAAGUAAAACCUGUCUGGCACAACAUGGUAUCCAGUUCCUCAUACUCUAUAACAGGCUGCUGGGCAGGACAGGUUACAUAAAAUAAAUAAAUAAAUAAAAAUGGUGGAAUCUCAAAAAUGGAAAUAAAAGGCUAUGUCUACUUACAAAGUAAUGACAGAUGCUGUCAGAAAUUGCUAAAAAUGUAGUAACAGUCUCUGUUAAACAACAGGCAGAGAUUUUAUAUGGUUUUGCACUUCUAAAUAAGAGGAAAGGUUCAGCUCUCACUUGAAAAAGUGUAUAGUAACCCUGUUCUAGCUGCAUCACUACACUUUUUUCACAAGGAGGCAGUGUUGUCUUUUUGUUCACUCUCAAACAUUAGUGAACAGAGGGACUCAGAACAUGGUGAGAGAGCAACAGUUUAUUUUUUCAAAGAUGAUACAAAACAAACUUAGAGAAUCCUCUGUGCUCAUUUGAUGUAGUCAAAAAAGAAGAUGCACAAAGCGAUAAUGUAUAUAUUUAAGAGCAGGAUGAGAUACUGUAUUUAACAUCAAUAGAUAUCACAUCUAUUAAAUAGUCCCCACAGAACUGA
Molecule: long non-coding RNA, 1117 nt
Organism: Micropterus salmoides (largemouth bass)
Lineage: Eukaryota; Metazoa; Chordata; Actinopteri; Centrarchiformes; Centrarchidae
Exons: 4
Source: RefSeq, a predicted model, not a curated record